AGAUCUCAUCUCUGGGUUAGAGUAAACUAUCAAGACUUAAAACUUACUUACUUUACCUUUUACCUUGGGACUUGUAACCAUCACUUCUGUCUUGAGUAGUUAAAAGAUAGAACAGUCUAGUCAAGUGCCAUGUCUCUUAUUCUUGAUCAGCUAUAGCUCUGGAGUUUUUGUAGAUUUUCAAAUAAAACUCAGAGAUUCCUUGUAUGACUCUCUUAGAUCUCUCUUUUAUGGUAUUUCUGGAUCCUUACCAAGGCAGUGAUGGUAUAUGCCUUCUCUCAAAAUAUGUAGUAUUUGUGGUAUAAGGCAUAGUGACAUUGCCUUCUCUCUCAUCCUACUCUAAUAAGGCUUUAAUAUCUGGAUCUUAUAGGUCGGAGAUAAAGUAUACAUACUUACAAGACAUUUGUUGCAUAGUCAAACCAUGGAUCCAAAGAAACAAAUCACUAAGUCAAAUCAAGAUGUGCAUGUGUGGCGAAUGAAUGGUGUAUGGUGAUGAUGCUGAUAACAAUAGUGAAAGUCUAAUUUUAUUUUUUGCUCUUUUGAGGGGAUACAUACCUUCCUUGCUCUUUUAAACUUUAUGAGGAGAAUGAGAUGCUCUAUAUUUUUCUUUUUCUUUCCUCUCAGGUGAGCAUCUUGUACGCCUAAUUCUACUGUCGGACACUUGUCUAUUUUUACCUCUCGUCUCACUUUUUCUUUUCUUUCUUUCGAGGUUCCAGGCACAUGCUCCUUUUAUUUCCUCGUAUCUCUUUUUUUUAGAGCACUCAUCUCAUGAAAUAAUAUAGCAAGUGGCAGUAACCAAGAUAACUUGAGCAUUUAUUUCAUAGUGGAAAGCAAAAAUGUUUUUGGCUAUUCUCUCUCAGAUUAGGAGUAGAAUGUUUUUGGGUGGUUCUGGAGAUGGAAAUGGAUGGAUAUAUGUGGAUGGUACUUCCGGAAUAAAAGCAGCAUAUGUGAGUGAACGUGCAAGUGAAUCUUGAUUUUAACCACAUGACAAGCUCCUAAGGGUCUACACAGCUUGACCACACUCAAUGCUCAUAAGCAGUAAAAAGUAAAUAUGUGGCUCAAAGUCUAGCAAGCAUGUAUAUAUGGCUGUG
RNAcentral lists this long non-coding RNA (1088 nucleotides) under Sorghum bicolor (sorghum). RNAcentral's name for it is "long non-coding RNA (SBIC_LNC017696)". The record is from RNAcentral. Lineage: Eukaryota; Viridiplantae; Streptophyta; Magnoliopsida; Poales; Poaceae.